This is a long non-coding RNA of Lycium ferocissimum, 502 nucleotides long. RefSeq lists it as uncharacterized. Lineage: Eukaryota; Viridiplantae; Streptophyta; Magnoliopsida; Solanales; Solanaceae. The transcript is spliced from 2 exons. The record is from RefSeq and is a predicted model, not a curated record.
UAAAGACAAGUUGUAAAUUACAUAGGCAGAAAUAUGAGGGAGAAAGGCCUAUAAAUUCAUAGCCAUUCAUGAAGCAAAACAUUGCAUUGCAAUAACACAUAAUUCUCUUAUAUAUCUCUCUCUCUUGUCAUGGCUCGCAAUUAUGCUUUCUAUUUCACUUUUGCGCUUUUGGUGAUGUCUGUUUAUUUGGCUCACUCUCCAAGAGUGAAAGUAGUUGCUGUGAGAGACUUGUCGCCGACUAUAACAGAACUCAAAUCAAAACUAACUGGUUAUAACCUGAUGGGUGGUUGCGGUGGAUACUGUCGGAGGAGCACUGAUUGCCUUGAUAGGACAUGUCCCCGUUGUUACUACGAUGUUAUUAAACUUACCUAUGGCUGCCACGCGUAAAGGAUCGAUCACUGAUGGCCAACACAAUAUGAGUUCUGUUCUAAGUAUGAGAUGAUGUUUGCAUGGUUUAUUGUCUUUGCUUUCAUGUUUUCCUUUUCUAGCUUUUUCCCUUAAA